Molecule: transfer RNA, 69 nt
Filed under: Cherax cairnsensis
Lineage: Eukaryota; Metazoa; Arthropoda; Malacostraca; Decapoda; Parastacidae
Description: tRNA-Trp
Source: RNAcentral
GAGAUUUUAAGUUUAUUAAAACUAACAUCCUUCAAAGCUGUAAAAAAAAGUCGACCCUUUUAAAUCUCG